UGGUCAUUUUUAUUAAAAAUUUGUACUGUUAAAAACUGGUCCGGUUAAUGGAAUAACCAAAGAAUGACACGUUGUGUGCCACAUGUAUGUCAUGCUGACAUACAUAGACUAGUUUUUAACAGUAGAAAUAAAUAGAAGGACCA
Molecule: non-coding RNA, 143 nt
Organism: Gossypium arboreum
Lineage: Eukaryota; Viridiplantae; Streptophyta; Magnoliopsida; Malvales; Malvaceae
Source: Rfam